RNAcentral lists this ribosomal RNA (217 nucleotides) under uncultured bacterium. RNAcentral describes it as "partial 16S ribosomal RNA". It matches the Rfam family "Bacterial small subunit ribosomal RNA", at positions 328 to 539 of the family's 1533-position model. The record is from RNAcentral.
ACGCUCGACACCUACGGGAGGCAGCAGUGAGGAAUAUUGGUCAAUGGGCGCUAGCCUGAACCAGCCAAGUAGCGUGAAGGAUGAAGGCUCUAUGGGUCGUAAACUUCUUUUAUAUAAGAAUAAAGUGCAGUAUGUAUACUGUUUUGUAUGUAUUAUAUGAAUAAGGAUCGGCUAACUCCGUGCUAGCAGCCGGGUAAUCUGAGCGGGCUGGCAAGGC